RNAcentral lists this ribosomal RNA (119 nucleotides) under Petromyzon marinus (sea lamprey). Lineage: Eukaryota; Metazoa; Chordata; Hyperoartia; Petromyzontiformes; Petromyzontidae. The record is from RNAcentral.
ACCUACGACCACAUCACCCUGAUUACACCCGAUCUCGUCUGAUCUCGGAAGCUAAGCAGGGUCGAGCAUGGUUAGAACUUGGAUGGCAGACUGACUGGGAAUUUCAGGUGUUGUAGGCU